Molecule: ribosomal RNA, 327 nt
Filed under: Methanomicrobia archaeon
Lineage: Archaea; Methanobacteriati; Methanobacteriota; Methanomicrobia
Description: bacterial SSU rRNA
Rfam family: Archaeal small subunit ribosomal RNA
Source: RNAcentral
CAACUCUGGUUGAUCCUGCCAGAGGUCACUGCUAUCGGAGUACGACUUAGCCAUGCGAGUCACAGGGACUUCGGUCACUGGCGUACGGCUCAGUAACACGUGGGCAACCUACCCUCAGGACAGGCAUAACCCCGGGAAACUGGGGCUAAUCCCUGAUAGGCACCCUCAACUGGAAUGUGUCGGUGUCGAAAGCUCCGGCGCCUGAGGAUGGGCCUGCGGCCGAUUAGGUUGUUGGCGGGGUAACAGCCCACCAAGCCGACGAUCGGUACGGGCAGUGAGAGCUGUAGCCCGGAGAUGGGGACUGAGACAAGGCCCCAGGCCCUACGG